GACGAACGCUGGCGGCGUGCCUAAUACAUGCAAGUUGAGCGCUGAAGGUUGGUACUUGUACCAACUGGAUGAGCAGCGAACGGGUGAGUAACGCGUGGGGAAUCUGCCUUUGAGCGGGGGACAACAUUUGGAAACGAAUGCUAAUACCGCAUAAAAACUUUAAACACAAGUUUUAAGUUUGAAAGAUGCAAUUGCAUCACUCAAAGAUGAUCCCGCGUUGUAUUAGCUAGUUGGUGAGGUAAAGGCUCACCAAGGCGAUGAUACAUAGCCGACCUGAGAGGGUGAUCGGCCACAUUGGGACUGAGACACGGCCCAAACUCCUACGGGAGGCAGCAGUAGGGAAUCUUCGGCAAUAGACGAAAGUCUGACCGAGCAACGCCGCGUGAGUGAAGAAGGUUUUCGGAUCGUAAAACUCUGUUGGUAGAGAAGAACGUUGGUGAGAGUGGAAAGCUCAUCAAGUGACGGUAAUUACCCAGAAAGGGACGGCUAACUACGUG
RNAcentral lists this ribosomal RNA (497 nucleotides) under uncultured bacterium. RNAcentral describes it as "partial 16S ribosomal RNA". It matches the Rfam family "Bacterial small subunit ribosomal RNA", at positions 28 to 507 of the family's 1533-position model. The record is from RNAcentral.